GGUUAAGCGACUAAGCGUACACGGUGGAUGCCCUGGCAGUCAGAGGCGAUGAAGGACGUGCUAAUCUGCGAAAAGCGCCGGCGAGGUGAUAUGAACCUUUGACCCGGCGAUGUCCGAAUGGGGAAACCCAGUGUGAUUCGUCACACUAUCGUUAACUGAAUACAUAGGUUAACGAGGCGAACCGGGGGAACUGAAACAUCUAAGUACCCCGAGGAAAAGAAAUCAACCGAGAUUCCCCCAGUAGCGGCGAGCGAACGGGGAGCAGCCCAGAGUCUGAAUCAGCUUGUGUGUUAGUGGAAGCGUCUGGAAAGUCGCACGGUACAGGGUGACAGUCCCGUACACGAAAAUGCACAGGUUGUGAACUCGAAGAGUAGGGCGGGACACGUGGUAUCCUGUCUGAAUAUGGGGGGACCAUCCUCCAAGGCUAAAUACUCCUGACUGACCGAUAGUGAACCAGUACCGUGAGGGAAAGGCGAAAAGAACCCCGGCGAGGGGAGUGAAAAAGAACCUGAAACCGUGUACGUACAAGCAGUGGGAGCACCUUCGUGGUGUGACUGCGUACCUUUUGUAUAAUGGGUCAGCGACUUAUAUUCUGUAGCAAGGUUAACCGUAUAGGGGAGCCGAAGGGAAACCGAGUCUUAACUGGGCGUUAAGUUGCAGGGUAUAGACCCGAAACCCGGUGAUCUAGCCAUGGGCAGGUUGAAGGUUGGGUAACACUAACUGGAGGACCGAACCGACUAAUGUUGAAAAAUUAGCGGAUGACUUGUGGCUGGGGGUGAAAGGCCAAUCAAACCGGGAGAUAGCUGGUUCUCCCCGAAAGCUAUUUAGGUAGCGCCUCGUGAACUCAUCUUCGGGGGUAGAGCACUGUUUCGGCUAGGGGGCCAUCCCGGCUUACCAACCCGAUGCAAACUACGAAUACCGAAGAAUGUUAUCACGGGAGACACACGGCGGGUGCUAACGUCCGUCGUGAAGAGGGAAACAACCCAGACCGCCAGCUAAGGUCCCAAAGUCAUGGUUAAGUGGGAAACGAUGUGGGAAGGCACAGACAGCCAGGAUGUUGGCUUAGAAGCAGCCAUCAUUUAAAGAAAGCGUAAUAGCUCACUGGUCGAGUCGGCCUGCGCGGAAGAUGUAACGGGGCUAAACCAUGCACCGAAGCUGCGGCAGCGAC
RNAcentral lists this ribosomal RNA (1168 nucleotides) under Enterobacter roggenkampii. Its description in RNAcentral is "partial 23S ribosomal RNA". It matches the Rfam family "Bacterial large subunit ribosomal RNA", at positions 1 to 1212 of the family's 2925-position model. The record is from RNAcentral. RNAcentral also lists the same sequence under 1 other name. Lineage: Bacteria; Pseudomonadati; Pseudomonadota; Gammaproteobacteria; Enterobacterales; Enterobacteriaceae.